UACGUAGGGUGCGAGCGUUGUCCGGAAUUACUGGGCGUAAAGAGCUCGUAGGUGGUUUGUCGCGUUGUUCGUGAAAUCUCACGGCUUAACUGUGAGCGUGCGGGCGAUACGGGCAGACUAGAGUACUGCAGGGGAGACUGGAAUUCCUGGUGUAGCGGUGAAAUGCGCAGAUAUCAGGAGGAACACCGGUGGCGAAGGCGGGUCUCUGGGCCGAUACUGACGCUGAGGAGCGAAAGCGUGGGGAGCGAACAGG
RNAcentral lists this ribosomal RNA (253 nucleotides) under uncultured bacterium. RNAcentral's name for it is "partial 16S ribosomal RNA". It matches the Rfam family "Bacterial small subunit ribosomal RNA", at positions 524 to 776 of the family's 1533-position model. The record is from RNAcentral.